Molecule: ribosomal RNA, 451 nt
Filed under: uncultured bacterium
Lineage: Bacteria
Description: partial 16S ribosomal RNA
Rfam family: Bacterial small subunit ribosomal RNA
Source: RNAcentral
GUGGGGAAUAUUGGACAAUGGGGGGAACCCUGAUCCAGCCAUGCCGCGUGUGUGAAGAAGGCCUUUUGGUUGUAAAGCACUUUAAGCGAGGAGGAGGCUACCGAGAUUAAUACUCUUGGAUAGUGGACGUUACUCGCAGAAUAAGCACCGGCUAACUCUGUGCCAGCAGCCGCGGUAAUACAGAGGGUGCAAGCGUUAAUCGGAUUUACUGGGCGUAAAGCGCGCGUAGGUGGCCAAUUAAGUCAAAUGUGAAAUCACCGAGCUUAACUUGGGAAUUGCAUUCGAUACUGGUUGGCUAGAGUAUGGGAGAGGAUGGUAGAAUUCCAGGUGUAGCGGUGAAAUGCGUAGAGAUCUGGAGGAAUACCGAUGGCGAAGGCAGCCAUCUGGCCUAAUACUGACACUGAGGUGCGAAAGCAUGGGGAGCAAACAGGAUUAGAAACCCGGGUAGUCC